This is a long non-coding RNA of Panicum virgatum (switchgrass), 1034 nucleotides long. RefSeq lists it as uncharacterized. NCBI's taxonomy places the organism in Eukaryota, Viridiplantae, Streptophyta, Magnoliopsida, Poales, Poaceae. The record is from RefSeq and is a predicted model, not a curated record. The transcript has 2 exons.
GAUGGGUCCAUAAGUUCCCGUCACCCCCUUCCUGCCCCUCUCCCGUUCCUCUUCUCCCCCCUUUUCUUCCUCUAGGGUUAGGAUUUGGAGAUGGAAUUUUGAGCGCUUGUAUCACGGAUUCAUGGGAAAGGAGGCCCUUCCCUCCUAGUGCCCUCCGGACUUUUGAAUCGAUUCAAUUCGUUGUCUCUGUGAUCUUGUUUUUCUGCUGGAAUUCUUGUUUUCCCUCUGUUUGUUCUUGGCGCUGGUGCAGGGGGCCUUGGGCCUUUUGGGAGUGCGCGCUGCAGCAAGCAAGAAGAACAAGAGCCAGCACGCACACAGCACAAGCAGCUCAUGUGCAGCACCAGCAGGAAGGCAGCAGGCGGCCAGCGAGCGUGUGCACAGCAGGGGCAGCGACCAAGGGCCUAGGCGCGCAGGUAAUUUUUGUCUUCGUGUGUUGGGGAUCAGAGGCACAUCGACUAGGCAGCAGCAGGAGCUCGGCAUCGGCAACUCCAUCCACCGCACGCAGGCUGCUCGAUGUUUUGCCCACAAGGUUAGGCAGCUCGACUGGUCAACAAGCACAUCAUGCAUAGGAGACGAAAGGAAGCAUGAGUCUGUUGGGUUCCCUUUCAGAUGGAUGGACCGAUAUAAGGAUUUCAUGGCAAUCCAAUGGUGGAAUUUUUGCGAUGACAUGGAUAGCUUGUAUGUCAAGAGAAAUAACAUUUAAUGAGUUGUGGGAAGCUUUUUUUUAUAAGAGUUAUAGAUAGCAGCAGCUUCUUCCUUCCUUCCUCCUCCUCCUCCUCUGGUUAAUUAGCACCAACGGCAUGCAACAACGUUGUGCCAUGGAGUCAGGGGGUAGUGCUGGCAGGAAGAGGAGGCAUCAGGAACUGCUUCUGCUCGGCAAUCGAUUGGAGUGGCGCUCAUUUUCUCAAUGUUCCUGAAAGGAAUGGUUCCAGGUCGACUUAGUUGUUUGACCCUGCUGAUCCAUUGUAUUCAUACACACUACACUCUGUAUUGCAUGAAGUUGUCGUUGAAUUGACACGGGCGUAACUUCUCCC